Triticum aestivum (bread wheat) is the source of this 1255-nucleotide long non-coding RNA. RefSeq lists it as uncharacterized. The record is from RefSeq and is a predicted model, not a curated record. The transcript has 3 exons. Lineage: Eukaryota; Viridiplantae; Streptophyta; Magnoliopsida; Poales; Poaceae.
UCGCGACCCCAUCUUUCCUUUCUUGGGUUUGUUUCUUGCGCCACCCCUUCUUUGUCCUCCCCUUCCCCUUCUUUCCUUUCUCUCCGAUGGUGGAGUCUAGGCGACGAAGGCGACCCUAGCACUGGAUGGAGCCCUCGAUGGAGCACGCGCCGCCGCCGGCGAUGGACCAAUGGUCGUUGCUUAGGUUCAUUGUGCAUACAAAAGCUAUUAUUCAACCUCGCCCUUUUCCUUGGCGUCUAGACACAGUUACUAUUGAUAAUUUGAAGAAGGAGUUGAUGCAACUAGGGUUAAGCAGAGAUGAUUUUAUCUACUAUAGAAGCAUCCAUUGACAGGAAACCUGAUUGGUUUGUAGAACCAGCUCCAUAUAUGUGUUGCUCAACAUGGAACAUCUAUUGUUGAGCAUGGAGCUACUGUUGCUCAAGCUGCAAUUGUUGUUGAGCAUUGAGUUGUUGUUGCUCAAGCUCCAAUUGUUGCUGAGCAUGGAGCAGUUGAUGCUCAAGCUCCAAUUUUUGCUGAGCAUGGAGAAGUUGUUGCUGCCCAUGGGUCAACUAUUGGUGAUGAUCAUGUUGCAAGUGGUGUUGAUUCUGUGCAGGUGUAGGUUGUGGCUAAUGGUCAGGAAUACCAAUCAGGGUUUGUUGAUGGUCCAACUGUUGAUGAAGAAAUUUAGUUAAGUCAAGCUAAUUAACAAGAUUGUUGUAUUUUUUUCCCAUGAAGAGUACAAUGUUGCUGACUAUAGUGAUGAUGAGGACCUUGAUAUUUAUGUGAGACAAAAAAGAUGAGAAGAGAAUAUGAAGAGAAGUGGCAGAAAGAGAUGGCAAAACUGGUGUUUAAUCAGAGGAUGAGUAUGAGGAUAUUUUCUGUUGGUGAGGAUGCUGACCCAAUGGUGAAGUGCCACUCGGAAAUAUUGAAGCAAAUUUAUUUGGCAAAAGCAGAGGUAGCAAGCAUAAGAGAAGGAUGGAAGAUAGGAAGAUGGUUGUACAAGAGAGAAUGGCAGAGAAGAUGAAGCUAGUUGAUGAGAAAAUAAAAAUCAAGGAAGGAGGAGUGUGGUUUAUCUGAUGAGAAAAACCAAUCAACUCUAGAAUGCAAUUUGAUGAUUCAGUUAUGAGCAGACAACGUCCAUGUUCCGGUUUGCUUCUUUGAAUCAUCAAAUUGCUCUACUGAAACCAUGUGUGUGUCACUGAACUACUGAACACAUGCUUGUGUUCAUAUACCUAGAUUGGUACUCUAAAUAUGGUGAUUCAAAUGCAAUUCUACU